ANAAACCGAAAAAAAGAGGGAUGCAACACGAAGACUUUUCUGGAGGUCAUCCAUCCUAGUACUACUCUCCCCCAAGCACGCUUAACUGUGGUGUUCUGAUAGGAUCAAGUGCAUUAGUGCUGGUAUGAUCGCAUCAGUUACUACAUGCAAUGCAAUCAUAUAUAU
RNAcentral lists this small RNA (165 nucleotides) under Arabidopsis thaliana (thale cress). Its description in RNAcentral is "ATSL163410". The record is from RNAcentral. Lineage: Eukaryota; Viridiplantae; Streptophyta; Magnoliopsida; Brassicales; Brassicaceae.